UCCCAGUCUUUGUAUCAGCAUGGACAGUUCUUUUAUUUAUACAUCUACAUGAGUGUUCUUCUGUCUUAAUGAGAUUGUUCCUCUCUCCCGAUUUUAAUUAAGUUAAAAUCACCCUCCUCUUCAGGCUAAUGAGGCACUUCCCCUUUCAGCAUUUUCUUCAUUAGUCUCCCCAUCCCCUCCUCGAUCCUCUUCUCUAUCUCCUGCUCUAUCAUCUUCUCUACUAUCUUCUCUACUAUCUUCUCUAUCAUCUUCUCUAUCCUCUGCUCUAUCAUCUUCUCUACUAUCUUCUCUAUCCUCUGCUCUAUCAUCUUCUCUAUCCUCUUCUCUAUUAUCUUCUCUAUCCCCUGCUCUAUCAUCUUCUCUACUAUCUUCUCUAUCAUCUUCUCUAUCCCCUGCUCUAUCAUCUUCUCUACUAUCUUCUCUAUAAUCUUCUCUAUCCCCUGCUCUAUCAUCUUCUCUAUCAUCUUCUCUACUAUGUUCUCUAUCAUCUUCUCUAUCCUCUGCUCUAUCAUCUUCUCUAUCCUCUUCUCUAUCAUCUUCUCUAUCCCCUGCUCUAUCAUCUUCUCUACUAUCUUCUCUAUCAUCUUCUCUAUCCCCUGCUCUAUCAUCUUCUCUACUAUCUUCUCUAUCAUCUUCUCUAUCCCCUGCUCUAUCAUCUACUCUCUAUUCUCUUCUCUAUCAUCUUCUCUACUAUCUUCUCUAUCCUCUUCUCUAUCAUCUUCUCUAUCAUCUUCUCUAUUCUAUUCUCUAUCAUCUUCUCUAUAAUCUUCUCUAUCCCCUGCUCUAUCAUCUUCUCUAUUCCCUGCUCUAUCAUCUUCUCUAUUCCCUGCUCUAUCAUCUUCUCUAUCCCCUGCUCUAUCAUCUUCUCUAUUCCCUGCUCUAUCAUCUUCUCUAUCCUCUUCUCUAUAAUCUUCUGUAUCAUCUUCUUUAUCAUCUUUAUAAUCUUCUCUAUCAUCUUCUCUAUCAUCAUCGCUAUCAUCUUGUGUAUCAUCUGCUCUUCUCAGAAUACACAGUCUAUUUACAGUAUCUAUACAAAUGUGCACAAUUUGGACCUCAUAACCUUUAGAGAAGUGGUCAGGCAUUUUGCUCAGCAGAUGAAAAGGUUCAGAGUGGGGAGGACUGGUUUGUAGCUUCAAGCCCUGAGGCAACACCACUUUAUUAGUUAGAGA
RNAcentral lists this long non-coding RNA (1169 nucleotides) under Salmo trutta (river trout). RNAcentral's name for it is "lncRNA (ENSSTUG00000033010.1)". The record is from RNAcentral. Lineage: Eukaryota; Metazoa; Chordata; Actinopteri; Salmoniformes; Salmonidae.